Long non-coding RNA from Homo sapiens (human), 1541 nucleotides. Ensembl annotates it as long intergenic non-protein coding RNA 1203. NCBI's taxonomy places the organism in Eukaryota, Metazoa, Chordata, Mammalia, Primates, Hominidae. The record is from Ensembl.
CAAAGUGCUGGAAUUACAGGCGUGCACCACCACGCCCGGCCAGAUCUUCAUAUAUCUAAGAUCCUGUCAAGAAGACAUGGUAAACCUCAUCAUGAUCAAGAAUGAGACUUUGCUUGCAUCCAGGCUUCCCAAAAGUUGUUUGAUAGUAUACAGGCAUGAGAUGGUGUGACUCUAACUCAUUAGAUGCCUUCGUCUUUUCAGUCAUCAUGUGAUGGAAAGAAAGCUAUCAACUUCAUUCCUGAGACUUCCUGCAACACAGAUCCAUCUAAACUUUUACUUCAUUGGAGGGUCCUUCCUGACCCAUGCAACUCAACAAAAAACUCUCACAGUUUUUAUAUGCUUUGUUGGGGAUUAACCCAUCUUGCAUUGCAUUGCUAGCUUAGUAUGUCUAGCAUGGGCAUGCCUGCUGAAGUUUGGAACUUCCCAUCAAGGAAACAGGAAAAUGCCAUUGGCAAUGAGCUGAAGACUGAUUUACUCUACCAGUUUGGAACAUCUGUUAUUGCUGCUACUACGGUUUCUAUCACUGUUUGAUGCUGGGACUCUUAAGCUCCAACCACGUUUUCACCGAGCUGAGUCGCCUUCUUAUCACCCCUUUCUGGAGCAGCAGGACAUCUGGGGAUGAGAAGAUGGAGAGAUCAUCCUUAUAUAAUGUUGCAGUCUGGAAGCAUCACUCUCAAAAAGCCAUUGUAGAGAAUCCAAGCCGAGUUUAAGAGUGCUGUGGAAAUACACUGCUGCUACUGCUGUUUCUAUUACUGUUUGAUGCUGGGACUCUUAUGCUCCAACCACGUUUUCACCCAGCUGAGUCGCCUUCGUAUCACGCCUUUCCAAGUCUCGCUCUGUUGUCCAGGCUGGAGUGCAGUGGCAUGAUCUUGGCUCACUGAAACCUCUGCCUCCCAGGUUCAGGCGAUUCUCCUGCUUCAGCCUCACGAGUAGCUGGGACUGCAGGCCCACCAAGCCUGGCUAGUUUUUGUAUUAUUAGUAGAGACGGGGUUUCACCAUGUUGGCCAGGCUAGGCUCGAACUCCUGGCCUCAAGUGCUGGGAUUACAGGUGUGAGCCACCACACCCAGUCCUACAGUUUGAUCAUUUUUAAGGUGCAAAUUCUAUUCAACUUCCCAUAUACAUGGGGUUUCACACUGGGACGGUGAGGCAGGGGAUCAGAGGUGGGGUUAAGUAUUGAAAUCAGCAUAUAAGGCAAGAAUAGUUGAUAAUCAACACUACUCUCUAAAACUCCUUAAAUCAGUGGUGCUACAGAGAUAGUACACUGCUAGAGGCAAUUUAGAAUAUUUUGUUGUGUGUUUUUGGUUAGCAUAGCCAAGGGAGGGGGUACCUUAGAUAUUCAUGAGCCACAGCUGGGGAUUUUAAGCAACCGUCAUUGGUCAUAAAGUCCAGAGAAAAGAAGGAUCCUCUCCGGUCCUUCAGCACUUCUGAAUGCCCUGCUAGACCUGCAUUGUGUGUGAAAACCUGCUCAAGAUUAUCUGAGGAUAGAUGCUCACAGCAUUUUACAAAUAAACACAAAAGUAUUUUUAGCAAUCUUAAUAAA